RNAcentral lists this long non-coding RNA (480 nucleotides) under Homo sapiens (human). Its description in RNAcentral is "HSALNT0300829". The record is from RNAcentral. Lineage: Eukaryota; Metazoa; Chordata; Mammalia; Primates; Hominidae.
ACCAGUAGAUUCUUGAGAGAGCAGCCAGUAAUGGGCCAGCAUCAAAGAAGCUGAUGAGGGACUUUUUGCACCCCCACACCUAAAGCAAGAAGAUAUUGAGGGCCCAGACUAAUUACUUCUUUAUUCUAUUCUGGGAUGUCUUCAGAAAUCCUUUCUUCGUGAUGUGCAAUGGAUGCUAUCAUUUCAGUCACCAUGAUGUCGAAGUGGGAAUCGAUAUUUGAGGGGAGGGAAAUAUCCCAACCCUGACCAUCUACUGAACAAUGACUCACCAAUAGCUGCACAACAGUCAGGACAGAGCACAUGUCCGGAAAAUUUCAUUUUAAUUUGCCUCAGCUGGGACUACAGUUACUGUUUGAAAGAAAGAACAAUCAACAAAGUACCUAGGAAAGAAGACAUCUUGCAACACUCUUCAAUUUCUUCUUAAAUGCUUGGGGGAAACGUGAAAAAUUUUGAUAAAUAGGAAAACAAAAUUGUUGGCAA